Molecule: ribosomal RNA, 1372 nt
Filed under: uncultured bacterium
Lineage: Bacteria
Description: bacterial SSU rRNA
Rfam family: Bacterial small subunit ribosomal RNA
Source: RNAcentral
GAUAAACGCUGGCGGCGUGCCUAAUACAUGCAAGUCGAGCGAACGGACGAGAAGCUUGCUUCUCUGAUGUUAGCGGCGGACGGGUGAGUAACACGUGGAUAACCUACCUAUAAGACUGGGAUAACUUCGGGAAACCGGAGCUAAUACCGGAUAAUAUUUUGAACCGCAUGGUUCAAAAGUGAAAGACGGUCUUGCUGUCACUUAUAGAUGGAUCCGCGCUGCAUUAGCUAGUUGGUAAGGUGACGGCUUACCAAGGCAACGAUGCAUAGCCGACCUGAGAGGGUGAUCGGCCACACUGGAACUGAGACACGGUCCAGACUCCUACGGGAGGCAGCAGUAGGGAAUCUUCCGCAAUGGGCGAAAGCCUGACGGAGCAACGCCGCGUGAGUGAUGAAGGUCUUCGGAUCGUAAAACUCUGUUAUUAGGGAAGAACAUAUGUGUAAGUAACUGUGCACAUCUUGACGGUACCUAAUCAGAAAGCCACGGCUAACUACGUGCCAGCAGCCGCGGUAAUACGUAGGUGGCAAGCGUUAUCCGGAAUUAUUGGGCGUAAAGCGCGCGUAGGCGGUUUUUUAAGUCUGAUGUGAAAGCCCACGGCUCAACCGUGGAGGGUCAUUGGAAACUGGAAGACUUGAGUGCAGAAGAGGAAAGUGGAAUUCCAUGUGUAGCGGUGAAAUGCGCAGAGAUAUGGAGGAACACCAGUGGCGAAGGCGACUUUCUGGUCUGUAACUGACGCUGAUGUGCGAAAGCGUGGGGAUCAAACAGGAUUAGAUACCCUGGUAGUCCACGCCGUAAACGAUGAGUGCUAAGUGUUAGGGGGUUUCCGCCCCUUAGUGCUGCAGCUAACGCAUUAAGCACUCCGCCUGGGGAGUACGACCGCAAGGUUGAAACUCAAAGGAAUUGACGGGGACCCGCACAAGCGGUGGAGCAUGUGGUUUAAUUCGAAGCAACGCGAAGAACCUUACCAAAUCUUGACAUCCUUUGACAACUCUAGAGAUAGAGCCUUCCCCUUCGGGGGACAAAGUGACAGGUGGUGCAUGGUUGUCGUCAGCUCGUGUCGUGAGAUGUUGGGUUAAGUCCCGCAACGAGCGCAACCCUUAAGCUUAGUUGCCAUCAUUAAGUUGGGCACUCUAAGUUGACUGCCGGUGACAAACCGGAGGAAGGUGGGGAUGACGUCAAAUCAUCAUGCCCCUUAUGAUUUGGGCUACACACGUGCUACAAUGGACAAUACAAAGGGCAGCGAAACCGCGAGGUCAAGCAAAUCCCAUAAAGUUGUUCUCAGUUCGGAUUGUAGUCUGCAACUCGACUACAUGAAGCUGGAAUCGCUAGUAAUCGUAGAUCAGCAUGCUACGGUGAAUACGUUCCCGGGUCU